This is a long non-coding RNA of Canis lupus familiaris (dog), 1725 nucleotides long. RefSeq lists it as uncharacterized. The transcript has 4 exons. NCBI's taxonomy places the organism in Eukaryota, Metazoa, Chordata, Mammalia, Carnivora, Canidae. The record is from RefSeq and is a predicted model, not a curated record.
CCGGGACUGUCUCAUCAGCAGAAAGCUCCCUUGCCACAGGACACCUUAAACCCCCAGAAAUAAAACCAUUCUCAGACAGAGAAGGCCAGAGGGUUCACUAGGCGCUCCUCUGCUGACCCCGACCCCCCACCCCCAGCCUCGCCCUCUCCCCGCAGCGGGGCCCAGGGGACAGGGCCUGAACCACGGCUGAAGGCCUGACACUCGACACUCGGGGCAGGCCAGGCUCCCCCAGCUCGGCCUCCCGGAAGCGAUGCAGAGAGGCUGAUAAGGGGGCUGGCCAGGGCUGGGGGCAACCACAGGGCAGGAAGAGUCAGCCGCGGCUGAGGCCCACAGCCCCUCCCGGCACGGCCCCCCGAGAGGAGGCAGCCCCUCACCUGCGGUCGUGCUGCUGUACAGUUCAUUUUCCUCCAUGCGGGGCCGGCUGCCCUUCCCCGCUGGCCCCGGCAGCUCCUUCCUCUGGCCCUGAGGAAGAGGCCAGGGUCUCAAGACCGCCUCCGAUGCCAAGCCCACGGCCAGCCCAGGCCUCCCUCCCGCGCACUCAGCCUGCUGUCUCUGCAUUCUGCACUGGGGCUCCCCCCGCCCCCAGCAACUGCCCCCAGCACCCUGACCUCGGCUCUUAUCACACCCGUCUGCAAGCACAGACUGCCCCCCAAUGCCAUGCCCCCUCCUCCCCGCCCCCCCGGGGGGCGCUCACGGAGAAGGCCAAGAGGCAGAUGGCCUGGACCCAGUCGCUGCGCUCCGCAGCAGGGGCCGCCAGCAGGUACGGACGCUCCUUGGUCUCCAGGAAGAAGGCGCUGGUGUCCCGGGGGCUGCUGGCCUCCCCGCCGGCCUCGGUCACGCGUAGGCAGUCACUGAGGCGGAUCACCUUCCUGGCGGCCUCUCCCCGCCGCGGCUUCUCCGAGGCCUCCUGGAGCUCCAGCCGGGCCAAGGCGCAGUCUGACUCUCCAUACAGCGUAGCCCCGAAACGGCGCCAUUUCUGAAUCCAGAUGCGUGGCAGGUUGGGUCAUGAGAGAGACAGAGAAGCCCUGGCGUGGCUCAGCUGAGGGAAAGAGGACUUCCUCAAUCAAGGAAGGACUUGUGGGAUCCCUGCAGUGGAAGUUCUAACUCCAGUACCUUCUGUCUGGCCACAGGCGAACCCUGUGGUAGCCCACAGUCGGUAUAAACUUCAAACGACCAACAGUCUCAGAAUCCAGAGAAGAUUUAAUCUGGGGGCCUUGACUGGAAGCAAGAGUGAAAUCCAAUGGAACACAGAAACCAGCAUUAUCUAACACUGAUAAUUCCUAGCGGAAAAGAUUGGAAUCGGCCUCAGCGGGAAAGAGACUGACCUGAUCUGACCCAGGAGGUUGGCCCUCCCAGUCAGACUGAGCCCAGGGGUCCUAAACACCCUUUAUCUCACCCUACCGCCACCGCCACCACCUCUUCCCAGCAUCUGACCCCUCUCAGGAGGCAGCCUAGAGGGCUGGUUAAGAUAACAAUCUACUUGCGAACAUUGCAACUGUGCCUUCUGCGUGUUUCCAUUGUCACCACUAUUUGGCGGCAAUUAGCAUGAACGUUUCUGGAGGAGAAAAAGGACAGAGGUGAAAAGAGGGGAGAUCACUAUCCGGGUUGCUGGUAAAACGCAGGAUCCGAGGGCAAUGGCCCUGAUCCCCUGGAGCAGAAAACUAGAAAGACAAACAUAAAUUCGGUCGACGUCGAAUUGGAAAUUCAUUGGAAAGUAAAUAAUAA